This 237-nucleotide unclassified non-coding RNA is filed under the name Hevea brasiliensis (rubber tree). The record is from RNAcentral. Lineage: Eukaryota; Viridiplantae; Streptophyta; Magnoliopsida; Malpighiales; Euphorbiaceae.
GGCGGCUCUCCUUGCAAAGCUGCGGGAGUACAAAUCUGAUUUGAAUAAUCUGAAGACUGAGCUUAAGAGGAUAACAUCUGGUAACUCUAACCAAGCUUCGAGAGAGGAGCUUUUGGAGUCUGGAACGGCCGAUACCCUAGCGGUCUCUGCAGACCAAAGAGGCAGGCUAUUAAUGUCAACUGAGAGACUCAACCAUUCCAGCGAAAGGAUCAAAGAGAGUAGAAGAACAAUGCUGGA